Long non-coding RNA from Beta vulgaris subsp. vulgaris (sugar beet), 541 nucleotides. RefSeq lists it as uncharacterized. The transcript has 3 exons. The record is from RefSeq and is a predicted model, not a curated record. NCBI's taxonomy places the organism in Eukaryota, Viridiplantae, Streptophyta, Magnoliopsida, Caryophyllales, Amaranthaceae.
AACGACUGCUCUUGUUUCUGUUGGUAAUUACCUACCGCCUUUAAAUAUUUCCAACCGCUUAACGGUCGGUAAAUCCCAACUAGUAACUCCAGCCUUUUUAACUCCCACGUUUCCCUUUUCCUCUCUUUUCUAACUUCUACGCGGUAAAACCUAGGUUUCGAAAAACCGACGACACCAUUGAAGUUGCCCGUUUGUUUUCGCCUCUCCACUGCCUCCUUCGCCGGUUACUUCUCCACUGCCGCCAUCUCCGGUUUCGUCUUCAUCUUCUCCGUCGCCAAUUGCUUCGUCAUCAUCACGCCGUUGCCGGUUUCAGAAUUUCACCGUCGACGCAUGUCGCCACCACACCAAUAUCGCGAAUUUUACCGUCGUCGUCGCCACUGCUCCGUCGUCGCGCCCACCACAACAGAUGUCUUCUUCUAGCAGGAGAGGGAGAGCUUCAGGAGGCCAGUCUACGCCACAUUCGUCGAAUGAUCCUGAGGGCGAGACUCCUUUAUUCUUUUAUUAGUAUAUUAUGUAUUUUGAGAAAAAUAAUGUUUAAUUU